UUUUUUUCGAAAAGUGGAGAGCGGCGAAAGGGAGAGUAACGCGUAGAAACGUACCCCGAGGCCCGGAAUAGCGGUGAGAAAUCGCCGGUAAUGCCGGUUAACGUCUCUGGACCAAAGGUUUACCACCUGGGGAGCGGUCUGCGUUCUAUUAGCUUGUUGGUGGGGUAAAAGCCUACCAAGGCAAAGAUGGAUACCGGGCGUGAGAGCGUGACCCGGCUCACUGGGACUGAGACACUGCCCAGGCACCUACGGGUGGCUGCAGUCGAGAAUCUUCCGCAAUGGACGAAAGUCUGACGGAGCGACGCCGCGUGCUGGAUGAAGGCCUUCGGGUUGUAAACAGCUGUCAUAGGGGAGGAAAUUUUGACCGAUCCUAAGAGGAAGCACAGGCUAAGUUCGUGCCAGCAGCCGCGGUAACACGAACUGUGCGAACGUUAUUCGGAAUCACUGGGCUUAAAGGGUGCGUAGGCGGCCAAGUAGGUCAGAUGUGAAAGCCCACGGCUCGACUGUGGAAUUGCGUUUGAAACCACUUGGCUUGAGUAAGAUAGAGGUAAGCGGAACUGAUGGUGGAGCGGUGAAAUGCGUUGAUAUCAUCAGGAACACCGGUGGCGAAAGCGGCUUACUGGGUCUUUACUGACGCUGAGGCACGAAAGCUAGGGGAGCGAACGGGAUUAGAUACCCCGGUAGUCCUAGCUGUAAACGUUGAGCACUAGCUCGUGCCCCCUCCCACAAGGGCUCGGGCGUAGCGAAAGUGUUAAGUGCUCCGCCUGGGGGAGUAUGGUCCCAAGGCUGAAACUCAAAGGAAUUGACGGGGGCUCACACAAGCGGUGGGAGGAUGUGGCUUAAUUCGAGGCUACGCGAAGAACCUUACCUAGGCUUAACAUGGUUUGGGAAUCUCUAUGAAAAGUAGAGAGUGCCUUUCGGGGAACCCUUACGUAGGUGCUGCAUGGCUGUCGUCAGCUCGUGUCGUGAGAUGUCCGGGUUAAGUCCCUUAACGAGCGAAACCCUUAUCCCUAGUCGCCAG
This 1021-nucleotide ribosomal RNA is filed under the name uncultured marine bacterium. RNAcentral describes it as "bacterial SSU rRNA". It matches the Rfam family "Bacterial small subunit ribosomal RNA", at positions 74 to 1121 of the family's 1533-position model. The record is from RNAcentral.